ACAGAGACUGCAAGCGUUACUCGGAUUCACUGGGCGUAAAGGGAGCGCAGGCGGACUCAUGUGUCGGACGUGAAAUACCGGGGCUUAACCCCGGUGCUGCGUUCGAAACUAUGAGUCUAGAGACUUGGAGGGGUAAGCGGAAUUCUUGGUGGAGCAGUGAAAUGCGUAGAUAUCAAGAGGAACACCAACGGCGAAGGCAGCUUACUGGACAAGAUCUGACGCUCAGGCUCGAAAGCGUGGGGAGCAAAAGGG
RNAcentral lists this ribosomal RNA (252 nucleotides) under uncultured bacterium. Its description in RNAcentral is "partial 16S ribosomal RNA". It matches the Rfam family "Bacterial small subunit ribosomal RNA", at positions 525 to 776 of the family's 1533-position model. The record is from RNAcentral.